GAGAUAGCAUGCGAGUCACGUAGCAAUACGUGGCACACGGCUCAGUAACACGUAGUCAACAUAACCAAAGGACGUGAAUAAACUCGGGAAACUGAGGCUAAACCGCGAUAGAUCAAGAUAUCUGGAAUGGUUUUUGAUCAAAAUCUAUAUGGCCUUUGGAUUGGACUGCGUCCGAUCAGGCUGUUGGUGAGGUAAUGGCCCACCAAACCUGUAACCGGUACGGGCUCUGAGAGGAGGAGCCCGGAGAUGGGUACUGAGAAAAGGACCCAGGCCCUAUGGGGCGCAGCAGGCGCGAAACCUCUGCAAUAGGCGAAAGCCUGACAGGGUUACUCUGAGUGACUUUCGCUAAGAAAGUCUUUUGACACCUCUAAAAAUGGUGUAGAAUAAGGGGUGGGCAAGUCUGGUGUCAGCCGCCGCGGUAAUACCAGCACCCCGAGUGGUCGGGACGAUUAUUGGGCCUAAAGCAUCCGUAGCCGGUUUUACAAGUCCUCCGUUAAAUCCAGCUGCUUAACAGAUGGGCUGCGGAGGAUACUAUAAGACUAGGAGGCAGGAGAGGCAAGCGGUACUCAGUGGGUAGGGGUAAAAUCCGUUGAUCCAUUGAAGACCACCAGUGGCGAAGGCGGCUUGCCAGAAUGCGCUCGACGGUGAGGGAUGAAAGCUGGGGGAGCAAACCGGAUUAGAUACCCGGGUAGUCCCAGCUGUAAACGAUGCAGACUCGGUGAUGGACUAGCUUUAUGCUAGUCCAGUGCCGCAGGAAAGCCGUUAAGUCUGCCGCCUGGGUAGUACGGUCGCAAGACUGAAACUUAAAGGAAUUGGCGGGGGAGCACCACAAGGGUGAAGCCUGCGGUUC
RNAcentral lists this ribosomal RNA (850 nucleotides) under uncultured crenarchaeote. Its description in RNAcentral is "bacterial SSU rRNA". It matches the Rfam family "Archaeal small subunit ribosomal RNA", at positions 42 to 903 of the family's 1478-position model. Lineage: Archaea; Thermoproteati; Thermoproteota. The record is from RNAcentral.